ACUUUGAAGCACAGACGCCAGUUUGUGUGGAGUCGUUGUUGAAAUACCACUCUGAUCGUAUUGGACACCUAACGUCGAACCCUUAUCGGGUUCACGGACAGUGCCUGGCGGGUAGUUUAACUGGGGCGGUUGCCUCCUAAAAUGUAACGGAGGCGCCCAAAGGUUCCCUCAACCUGGACGGCAAUCAGGUGGCGAGUGUAAGUGCACAAGGGAGCUUGACUGCGAGACUUACAAGUCAAGCAGGGACGAAAGUCGGGACUAGUGAUCCGGCACCCCCGAGUGGAAGGGGUGUCGCUCAACGGAUAAAAGGUACCCCGGGGAUAACAGGCUGAUCUUCCCCAAGAGUCCAUAUCGACGGGAUGGUUUGGCACCUCGAUGUCGGCUCGUCGCAUCCUGGGGCUGGAGCAGGUCCCAAGGGUUGGGCUGUUCGCCCAUUAAAGCGGCACGCGAGCUGGGUUUAGAACGUCGUGAGACAGUUCGGUCUCUAUCCGCCGCGCGCGUCAGAAACUUGAGGAAACCUGUCCCUAGUACGAGAGGACCGGGACGGACGAACCUCUGGUAUACCAGUUGUCCCACCAGGGCACGGCUGGAUAGCCACGUUCGGACAGGAUAACCGCUGAAAGCAUCUAAGCGGGAAACCUUCUCCAAGAUCAGGUUUCUCACCCUUUUAGAGGGAUAAGGCCCCCCGCAGACCACGGGAUUGAUAGGCCAGACCUGGAAGCUCAGUAAUGAGUGCAGGGAACUGGCACUAACCGGCCGAAAACUUACCAACACACAACUCG
Molecule: ribosomal RNA, 782 nt
Filed under: Mycobacterium avium subsp. hominissuis 10-5606
Lineage: Bacteria; Bacillati; Actinomycetota; Actinomycetes; Mycobacteriales; Mycobacteriaceae
Description: bacterial LSU rRNA
Rfam family: Bacterial large subunit ribosomal RNA
Source: RNAcentral